Molecule: ribosomal RNA, 409 nt
Filed under: uncultured Microbacterium sp.
Lineage: Bacteria; Bacillati; Actinomycetota; Actinomycetes; Micrococcales; Microbacteriaceae
Description: bacterial SSU rRNA
Rfam family: Bacterial small subunit ribosomal RNA
Source: RNAcentral
UGGGGAAUAUUGCACAAUGGGCGCAAGCCUGAUGCAGCGACGCCGCGUGGGGGAUGACGGCCUUCGGGUUGUAAACCUCUUUCAGCAGGGACGAAGGGUGACUGACGGUACCUGUAGAAGAAGCACCGGCCAACUACGUGCCAGCAGCCGCGGUAAUACGUAGGGUGCGAGCGUUGUCCGGAAUUACUGGGCGUAAAGAGCUCGUAGGUGGUUUGUCGCGUUGUUCGUGAAAACUCACAGCUUAACUGUGGGCGUGCGGGCGAUACGGGCAGACUGGAGUACUGCAGGGGAGACUGGAAUUCCUGGUGUAGCGGUGGAAUGCGCAGAUAUCAGGAGGAACACCGGUGGCGAAGGCGGGUCUCUGGGCAGUAACUGACGCUGAGGAGCGAAAGCGUGGGGAGCGAACAGG